GUUCCCAUGUUACUCUCGGAGCUUGGAACAUAGUAGAUGUUUAACAAAUGUUUGUGACUAACAAGAGUUUGUGAUAAACGAGGGACUGUGUUAAACCCAGAAAUACCAAGAAAAGCAAAAACAUGAUGCCUAUCUUUAAAGAGCUACCAUUCUAAUGGAAGGAAGUUUGGAGACUACGUCGGAAAGAGGAGCUAAUCUCUGUGUUCUCUCUAUGGAUAUGGAUGGCAUUUUGCAUCACAAGUCUACUGGAAUUGUCUUGGAUCACUUCAUUCCUGAGAAGAGCUAAGUCUAUGAUAGAUGGGUCAUCAUAAUCUUGCUGUUGAUGUAUAGAAUAUUUUCCUGGUUUUGUUAACUUCACUCAGCAUCAGUUCAUCUUUAGUGCCUCACUUGAAGAUUUGGUAUUCUCA
RNAcentral lists this long non-coding RNA (407 nucleotides) under Sarcophilus harrisii (Tasmanian devil). Its description in RNAcentral is "lncRNA (ENSSHAG00000024655.1)". Lineage: Eukaryota; Metazoa; Chordata; Mammalia; Dasyuromorphia; Dasyuridae. The record is from RNAcentral.